UUGGAGGUCUGUUCACAUUGAUGACCUCAGACAGUCAAAAGACAUUGUUUCAGACAUCAAAGCCUUACAAAACAUGACAAUCAGUCAAAUGUUUGAAACUAAGACAAAUCAGCCUGAAGCAAUGGAGGUGGAUGACAUGUAUACUGGGGUGGAGGAAGCAGAGCUGGAA
Monopterus albus (swamp eel) is the source of this 169-nucleotide long non-coding RNA. RefSeq lists it as uncharacterized. The transcript has 2 exons. Lineage: Eukaryota; Metazoa; Chordata; Actinopteri; Synbranchiformes; Synbranchidae. The record is from RefSeq and is a predicted model, not a curated record.